Molecule: ribosomal RNA, 253 nt
Filed under: uncultured bacterium
Lineage: Bacteria
Description: partial 16S ribosomal RNA
Rfam family: Bacterial small subunit ribosomal RNA
Source: RNAcentral
UACAGAGGUCUCAAGCGUUGUUCGGAUUCAUUGGGCGUAAAGGGUGCGUAGGUGGCGCGCUAAGUCAGGUGUGAAAUUUCGGAGCUUAACUCCGAAACUGCAUUCGAUACUGCCGUGCUUGAGGACUGGAGAGGAGACUGGAAUUUACGGUGUAGUGGUGAAAUGCGUAGAUAUCGUAAGGAAGACCAGUGGCGAAGGCGGGUCUCUGGACAGUUCCUGACGCUGAGGCACGAAGGCCAGGGGAGCAAACGGG